GACGAACUGUGCAAACGUUAUUCGGAAUUACUGGGCGUAAAGGGCGCGUAGGCGGCGCGAUAAGUUGGGCGUGAAAGGCCCGGGCUCAACCCGGGGACUGCGCUUGAUACUGUCGCGCUGUGAGUCCGGGAGAGGAUGGCGGAAUUCCCAGUGUAGAGGUGAAAUUCGUAGAUAUUGGGAAGAACACCGGUGGCGAAGGCGGCGAUCUGGGUCGAUACUGACGCUGAGGUGCGAAAGCGUGGGGAGCAAACAGG
RNAcentral lists this ribosomal RNA (254 nucleotides) under uncultured bacterium. RNAcentral's name for it is "partial 16S ribosomal RNA". It matches the Rfam family "Bacterial small subunit ribosomal RNA", at positions 524 to 776 of the family's 1533-position model. The record is from RNAcentral.